RNAcentral lists this long non-coding RNA (3688 nucleotides) under Homo sapiens (human). Its description in RNAcentral is "HSALNT0310698". The record is from RNAcentral. Lineage: Eukaryota; Metazoa; Chordata; Mammalia; Primates; Hominidae.
CUUAAGUAAACUUCUUAUCUAGGUUCACAGGGCAAGACCACAUCUAAUAUGGUUCAUAUGUUUUGUGGAAACAUGUAUUUUUAUUCAGAAUAGCUAUGUGGAAAAGGAAAGAUAAAAUGAAUCCCAAGGGCAUCUUAAACACACUAAAGAUAUAUUACAGGCCACAUAGUUCAACUCAAGAGUGUUUUGGCAAGCAGAAAGUGGCAGACAAAUUGUAAGUCCAGCAAUGUAUAUAAAAACCUAUGAAACAUGUCUAUGGAUAGAAUUCAAUGAUGCAAUUACUUGGGAAAGCUUGAAUAAACAUGUUAAGUAGUCAGCAUUUAUCAAAUACCCUUUGCUAGGCAUUGGGGAGAAGGAAAACAAGAGUUACCAUGAGGCAGAGUAAGAGGUCAGCAUAAUCUGUGAGUGAGGGUGAAAUCACCACGCAAAGACAUCUGAGGGUACUGUCAUUUUGAAUAAGGUUAAAGCUGUCAAACUAGUUAUAAAGAAUGACUUUGAGCCAGGUGGUACUCAAUGAGAGUGGAGGUACCUGUUCCUGUAACCGUAAAACUAUUUAAACAUACUAAAACUAUAGAAGUAAAUCAGAUGUUUUAAAAUGGUUAUACACCUCCCACUCUUCGGUCUCCUGUUACAGGCAGUCCAAGGAAACCAUUAGCAAUCGUAAGUCUUUCCACAUUUAAUCAUUCAAAUACUACCUUGAUGCACCAUCUUUAAUAUUUAUAUAAGAAAUAUUUUAAAGACUUGCUCACUGUUUCACUAAUGUCAAUAAGGUUUCUAUAAUUUGUAUAAAUGAACAACUAAUAUCGCUAGUCAUAAAUACUCGAUAAUCUUACUUAAAAGUAAAAACAAAUGAAACGUUGUUAAGGUCUAGCUAGACACUGUGGAUUGUUGAAGGCUGUAAUUCUGAGGCAUACUCUCUUUUUGUCAACACAGAUAUAAAAAAAUGCCCGUAUCCAUUUACUUAGAAAUUAUACAAUUAGGAAUGUGGCCUGAAGAUUUGUUUAUGACUGUGUCAAAUGACCUUAUGUACAAGGUGAUUUGUUGAAGCAUUGUUUGAUGUAGCAAAAGACUACAAUAAAAUAAAUACUCCUCAAUAAUGAUUAGCAAAAGUUACUGUGCAUUCAUAUAUAUAUGAAUAUAUAUAUAUUUAUGACAAGGUUUUGCUCUGUUGCACAGGCUGGAGUGCAGUAGCAUGAUCAUGGCUCACUGCUGCCUCGACCUCCCGGGCUCAGAGAUUCUCUUGCCUCAGCCUCCUGAGUAGCUGGGACCACAGGUGUGUGCCACUAUGCCUGGCUAAUUUAUUUUUAUUUUUUGUAGAGACAGAGUCUCCCGGUGUUGCCCAGGCUGAUCUCGAACUCCUGGGCUCAAGCAAUCCUCCCAUAGUGGUCCUUCCAAAGUACUGGGACUACAGGUGUGAGCCACUGCACUCGGUCCAUAGAAUAGAAUAGAGCUGCUAAAACUCCAUGGCCGGUUUCAUGGGAAGUGGAUCGUUAUAUGAGAAAAGUUUCAUUUGUAGGACACAUUCACACACACAAUUUUUUUUUUUUUGGUGUAUUUUUUUUUUUUUUUUUUGAGAUGGAGUCUCACUCUGUCACCCAGGCUGGAGUGCAGUGGCACAAUCUUGGCUCACUGCAAACUCCACCUCCUGGGUUCAAGGGAUUCUCUUGCCUUAGCCUCCUGAGUAGCUGGUAUUACAGGCACGCACCACCACACCCAGCUAAUUUUUUGUAUUUUUAGUAAUGAUGGGGUUUCACCAUGUUGGCCAGGCUGGUCUUGAACUCCUGACCCCAAGUAAUCUGCUGGCCUCGGCCUCCCAAAGUGCUGGGAUCACAGACGUGAGCCACUGUACCCGGCCCAAACACACAUAUAUAUUUAUUUAUUAUACAUAUGGAAUAUCUCUGGAAGUGUUUAUAAGAAAAUAGUGACAGUGGUUGUCUCUGUGUGGGGAAGAGGGUGGGUGGAUGGCUGAAAGUAGAGCAGUCCUUACUUUUCACUGGUUAUCCUUUUGGACUCUGAAUCAUGGAAUGGUAUUUAAAAGCAUAGGCAAGCUUGCCUGGGUUCAAAUCCUUGCUCUGGUGCUUACCAGUUUGUGGCCUUGAGCUGGUUACUGAAUUUCUCUGAGUCUCAGUGUUUUAAUUUCUACCAUGGGAAUAUUAAUUGUACUUAACUUACAGAGUUAUAAAGAAGAUGAGAUAAAAUAUGUGAAAAGUUUUUUAAAUAGCUCAUGGCACAAAGGAAGGCUAUAUAAACCUUUGCCAUUAUUUUAAAUUAUAGUUCCAUGUGCUUAUUUGAUCAAUGCAAAAAUAAAUAAGAAGAGUUUUCUGUAGCCAGAAUUAACAAUUAUGGCCUUCAGAAUGAAUGGAAUACGACUAAAAUAAGAAUAGCAAUCUCAUUCUUUAUUUAAUGUCAGUUCUGUAUAACACAUCACAUUUUAAAUCAUCUUUGCUUUUUUUUUUUUUAAGUCACCACUUCCAGAAACUCUGUAUAGGGGACUCAUAUGAACUGAAUACCCCAUUCUGCACAGAUCAGUCCUUUGCUCCAUUUCUGAAAACCUGACUGUGAUCAUUUCUGAGUUUUGUUCAGCUUCUUACUUUCGUUUUUUGUCAGCUAGCAUCCUCCACUCUUCCCCCUCCCCUCCCCUCCCUUCCCCUCCCUUCCCCAGUUUCGCUCUUGUUGCCCAGGCUGGAGUGCAAUGGCGCGAUCUCUGCUCACCGCAACCUCCGCCUCCUAGGUUAAAGCGAUUUUCCUGCCUCAGCCUCCUGAGUAGCUGGGAUUACAGGCUUGUGCCACCAUGUCUGGCUAAUUUUGUAUUUUUAGUAGAGAUGGGUUUUUUCCAUGUUGGUCAGGCUGGUCUCGAACUCCAGACCUCAGGCAAUCCGCCCACCUCGGCCUCUCAUAGUGCUGGGAUUACAGGCGUGAGCCACCGUGCCCAGCCUGCAGCCUCCAUAUUUUCUGGCCCAGUGAUUUUCACCCUUAGGAUUAGGACCAACUGGAAGCUCUUGAAAUGAACUAAGUGGUUUAAAAAAAAUAAAUGAAACAGAACAGAACAGAAAAAAAUAAAAUAGAAAAUAAUCAGAGUGUUUACCUCAUAGUAAAGGUAAGUAUCAUUUUAUGAAACUCUCUCUUCCCCACCCCCUAAAAAAGUCUGAAAGCUGUUAUCUGUUUCUGAAAAUCCAGUAACAAUUCCUUGAUGUCUGGAGGGAUGAUUGUCUCUAGCAUUGUGUGUUUGAGGACAAAAGUCAGAUCAAACUAGGAACUGCCAGGAAAAAGUUCAAAUCACCAGGACCAAAGCCGUCUAAGUUCCAGAAUAAUCCUAGCUGUCUGUGGACUCUAACAGCCUCAGGUGAAAAUGGACGGACUGGAAGCACAUUUAGAACUUAUUAACCAGAAGUUUGGCUCUAUGACUAGGAAAUAAGAAGAUAAAGUCCCAGAGACUAUGUACAAUCGACUGGUUCACUUCUGAAAUGGGAACAUGCCACAUAGCCCACAUGUUCUCCUUGUGCAAGUCAGGUUUAAUAUAGCAGCCUUUUUUUUGUUACCUUCUAUGGAUUAUCAAAAUAUCAGCCAAUAUUAACAUUUCUUAUAUAUUUUGAAUGCUUAAAAAUCUAGAUACAACAGAGCCCUCAGAAAUAACGCCGCAUAUCUACAACUAUCUGAUCUUUGACAAACCUGAGAAAAACAAGCAAUG